Molecule: long non-coding RNA, 2418 nt
Filed under: Eucalyptus grandis
Lineage: Eukaryota; Viridiplantae; Streptophyta; Magnoliopsida; Myrtales; Myrtaceae
Description: long non-coding RNA (EGRA_LNC006813)
Source: RNAcentral
UUCUUCAAAAGUCUUUCUCCCCUCCAGGUUCCUCUUCCUUAGCUUCUCCUCAGGGUCCUGAAGUGGUUAUUCAAUAACCAAUGAGACUACGUCUCAGCGAGUCCUACCCCCUACGACUCGAUUAGUAAACUAAUACACAAUACGGUUGCCUAAGCACAACACGAGUCAGAGGACUUACCUUGGCCUCAGUUCCCAACUGCAAUUCAAGGUUAAACACAGAUAUUCAAACAAUUCACGACAUUCGAUCAAGCACUGGUCAAUCGACUAAGUCGAUUACAUGUCAGCCAGACCCUUUCUAGGUCAUUCCCACUCAUACCACGAUUUCCCAGUGGUGUACUCAUUCACCAAAUCACAUGUGUUUCUCGGGCGUCGUUUUCGCCAAUGACAUACCGAUCACUGACACCGUGCGUUCUUUAAGGCGCCAUUUUCACCAGUGAUAUCCUCGAUCACCGAACCACGUGUCCUUUCAAGGGCGCCGUUUUCGCCAAGGUGACAUCGGCUAUAGACAACAUCGUGAGUUCUUUAAGGCGCCGUUUUCACCAGUGAUAUUCCCAUAACCACCGAACCACGUUUGUCUAUAAGUCAUUUACGUGCGUUCUUUAAGGCGCCGUUUUCACCAGUGAUACUUCCAAUCACCGAACCACGUAUGUCCAAUAACAUCGUACCUAAUUGGUCUCAACCAAUAAUGUUCACAGUUAGCUCUCACCAUUCUCCCUACUAUAUAGCCCAUCAACGUACUGGCGCUAUAUACCCAUGCUUGGCCAUUACCAAUCAAAUAUUCAAUAACAAACAAUUUAGGACAAUUCCUAAAAUUCCACAAUAAAUUCAAUUCCACACAACGUAGAGCUCAAAUAAAUAAACGAACUGCACCACGACAAUCAGCACGAAAUUCCGGUCACCGGCCAUCUCGGUUGAAUUUCCGGAAAAAUAAAUAAAUAAUUAAUUAAUUUCGAAAAUAAAUAAAUAAAUAUUAAAAAUCCAAUUUAGGCCCAUAUUGCCUUAUUGGAGCCCGAAACGGGUCGGGAAAAAUCCCGAGAUGCAUUCAAUAAAUAACCAAACCUUUGUACUUGCUAAUAGCUAGGUCUAACCACCUAUCAUGCAUCAUUAAGUCACUAAAUUAAUUGUUCUAACCUAAUCUAACCACCUAAGUGCAUGUAAUUAAAUCUAACCAACCCUAAGGCAUAAUUAGCAAACUAAUAAAGCAUUAUUGAGUAAAACUCACUUGGCAAAAGCGGAGACCGAAUCACCGCGACGGCGACGCGACGGCAGCCGAAAUCGGACUUUCGACAACACCGGCGGACUUAGACCGGGCCUUUAACUUGGGCCCAACAAAUCUCAGCCAAACUAAGAUUUAUUACUGAAAUGGGCCAAGCUUGACUGAAAUAGCACUUGCUGGGCUUCUUGGGCCGCAGGACUUCAAAGACUGGGCUGACUUGUGAAAAUAAUCAACUUGCUGGGCUGAGCUUGGGCCAAAACUUCUGCUGACUUGGCCUCAAUGGGCUGCUGUUGGUGUAAUAUUUGAAUGGGCUUGAAGACUGCACUAUGGCCCGAAAUUACUGGCUUUACUGGGCCUGAGGAUUGCUGGAUUUCACGACCUGCUUCAAUGGCUUCGCUUGCCACUGGACUGAAGGAUUGCUGGACUGAAGCUUCGGUUUGGGCUGAGGACACGCGUGCAGCUGGUCGUGGGAGUAUGCGGUCAAUUGACCGAUCGAUGCUGCCCUCGGUGAACUGAUUUGUGAAUAAACGAAGGUGGAGCUGGCCACGUGAGGAACUUCGGGCGCUGAAGAUGGAGAGGAAAUUGGAUUUGCUUCGUGGCAGGGCUUCGCUCGGUGGGGGAUUUCCUCGGUCAAUCUUCAAUGGUUUUCAGCUGGACUUUGACCAGUGAAAUCGACCGAAACAUGGCAGAGAUGGGGAGCGGCUUCGGUUGCUGGAUUUGCGUGGGCGAGGACUUGGUUGAAUCGGUGGUCUUCUGAGGGCGUUGGAGUUGACUGGCGGGCUGGCGUCGAGCUGAGGGCACACCACAGGGGAAGACUGAAGAUGGGAGCUGCUCGUGGGCGCUGCUUCGCUGGCCUCGGUCUUCGUGAACUCCACGAUAUGCACGGGCUGAAGACAUUGGACUCGGUGGAGCUGCUGCAGGGAUCUUCGCUGGCGUUGCAAGGUCAACCGAAUGGGAGAAACUCUGCUGCUAUUGACGGAAGAUCCACAGGACAUGGACAAGUGGCGAGGAGCAGCUUAAAUUGAAGAUCUCGUAGCUGGCGUGAGUGGAGUGUGUGUGGGCUUUCCUUUGAUGCAAGCUGACCGAAGAUUGAAGAAGCUGGAUUCUUUUCUCUCUGCUGGUGCUGGCGUCGCACGAAGUAAUCGGGAGAGAAGGGGGGUCGAUUGAGCUUGAGAGAAAUAAAAGAGAUGGAUAGGAAUGAG